GGGGGUUGUGAAAGUGUUUUUGCAAAUUAAAACGGGAAAUUAAACACAAUCGAACAUAAUUGAAAGCAUUAAAGUGCAUAAAAAAAAAUUAAACUGAACAGAUAGAAAAUGAAGACAAGUCGAAUGGCACAAUCAGAGACUAAACAGUCUAAACGCAACAGAACCAGAAAAUGCAGAAUUCAUCCGAAUUUGAAAAACAAAAUGCUGAAAUAGUAAACUGAACAAUGUAACAAAUAAAUAUCAAAAUAAAAUUAAAGCUACUAAAAUGGAAGAGCUAAUAAGUGAAAUGCAUAUUGCGGAAAUGAAAGAAAAAAAAAUACAGCUCCUAAAUAUAUAUAUAUAUAUAUAUAUAUAUAUAUAUAUAUAUAUUAUAAAAAAAAAGUUUCGGUUCAUUUGUCAAGAAAAAAAAAAUAAAAAAUAAAAAAAAUAAGAAACUUUUGUGGAAGAAACCGUGUUGACAUAAAAAAUAAAGUUUUGAAAUCAAAAGUGUGAACCAAUCUCAAAGAAAACUGACGCUUCUCCAUUUUCUAAAGGAAAGAAUUUGAAUGAUGUGGCCAUGUGUGCAGCGCCCUAAAAGAACAUUAAAAAAACAAACCAAAAAGAAGUUGCGGUUAGAUGUUACCACGCCUUUUUCAUUGAAUGAAAAUCAUGUGCAUAAAAUAAAAAGAAAACGAAGACUAAUUAGUAAUUCUCUUUCUUCAAAUCAUCAGCGAAAAUGCUGCUGCUAUCGGACGUGACCGAAACUAAACGCUGGAUGCGUGGUGAGCUUGAAUAAAAACCAAAUGCAAAAAAAAAAAAUAGAUUGUAACAUAACAGCGUUUUUGCAUCAAAGAAAAUUCAACAAGCUACACUUAUCUUGAGUCUCCGUUUUUGCUUUCAAAAUGAAAAGAAAAAUGAAAUUUACCACCUUCAAGGAUGGCGGUUGGACCUCCUUCUCAUUCAGCCAAAGUCUAGGAAAAUAAACAUUGUUUUUCAGGAAGAAGUUCCGUAAAAGUGCUCAAGCAAAGAAAGGUUUCCAGCCGAGAGAAAGUCCUCCAAAGUCUGCCCAAAAUUCCAACGUUCCAGCCCCUCUGAUAUAUGUGACGGCUGGAAUAACCUCUCCCUAAGAUCAUGUGUCCUAAAAUUGGAGUGGGGUCCACCCUAAAAUAAAAGGGAACCCUAGGUCUAGUGUCCUACAAUUUUGGGCCCAUCAUAAAAUUUUCAAAAUUGGCCCAAGAUGCAAAGAGUUUGUCUAAAAAGUUUUAACAAUAAAAUUACACUACAACUAAAAUUUAAAAUGUCUAAUCUUAGAGUCUUGAAUUUAU
This 1304-nucleotide long non-coding RNA is filed under the name Vigna radiata. Its description in RNAcentral is "long non-coding RNA (VRAD_LNC008037)". Lineage: Eukaryota; Viridiplantae; Streptophyta; Magnoliopsida; Fabales; Fabaceae. The record is from RNAcentral.